Molecule: ribosomal RNA, 292 nt
Filed under: uncultured bacterium
Lineage: Bacteria
Description: partial 16S ribosomal RNA
Rfam family: Bacterial small subunit ribosomal RNA
Source: RNAcentral
GUGUCAGCCGCCGCGGUAAUACAGAGGGUGCGAGCGUUGUCCGGAAUCACUGGGCGUAAAGGGCGUGUAGGCGGCUGGGUAAGCCGCGUGUGAAAUCCCGGGGCUCAACCCCGGAACGGCACGCGGGACUGUCCGGCUAGAGAAUGGUAGAGGCGAGUGGAAUUCCUGGUGUAGCGGUGGAAUGCGUAGAGAUCAGGAAGAACACCGGUGGCGAAGGCGGCUCGCUGGGCCAUUUCUGACGCUGAGGCGCGAAAGCGUGGGGAGCAAACAGGAUUAGAUACCCCCGUAGUCC